GUCUGAAUAUGGGGGGACCAUCCUCCAAGGCUAAAUACUCAUCAUCGACCGAUAGUGAACCAGUACCGUGAGGGAAAGGCGAAAAGAACCCCGGGAGGGGAGUGAAAUAGAUCCUGAAACCGCAUGCUUACAAAAAGUAGGAGCCCGCAAGGGUGACUGCGUACCUUUUGUAUAAUGGGUCAGCGACUUACAUUCAGUGGCAAGGUUAACCGAAUAGGGG
RNAcentral lists this ribosomal RNA (220 nucleotides) under Mesorhizobium sp. Its description in RNAcentral is "partial 23S ribosomal RNA". It matches the Rfam family "Bacterial large subunit ribosomal RNA", at positions 436 to 662 of the family's 2925-position model. The record is from RNAcentral. Lineage: Bacteria; Pseudomonadati; Pseudomonadota; Alphaproteobacteria; Hyphomicrobiales; Phyllobacteriaceae.